UCGUGGUGACGUGGGCGGUUCGCUGCCUUCGACGUUGCGAGAAGUCCACUGAACCUUAUCAUUUAGAGGAAGGAGAAGUCGUAACAAGGUUUCCGUAGGUGAACCUGCGGAAGGAUCAUUGCCGAAACCUGCCAAGCAGUUUGACUUGAGAACUUGUGCCAAAAUACCAAUGCAAUCUCGUUGUGGUUGUGCUUUUGGGUGCGACCAUGAUGAACAACAAACCCCCGGCGCGGUAUGCGCCAAGGAUUACUAAACUGAGAUUGCUGCCUUGCCCUGCUCCGUUCGCGGUUCUGCGGGCAUUGUUAGCAUCUUUAUAAACAAUAUGACUCUCGGCAACGGAUAUCUCGGCUCUCGCAUCGAUGAAGAACGUAGCGAAAUGCGAUACUUGGUGUGAAUUGCAGAAUCCCGUGAACCAUCGAGUCUUUGAACGCAAGUUGCGCCCAAGGCCAUCAGGCUUAGGGCACGUCUGCCUGGGUGUCACGUGACGUGUCGCUCCCUUCUAGAUUUGGGGAGGAGCGGAUCAUGUCCUCCCGUGCCUAUUGUAUGGUGCGGUGGGACCAAAUGCUUGAUACUGUUGAUGGACGUUCUGGCGAUUGGUGGUUGUGCCUAGAGUGCAAACGUCGUUCCACGUUCAAUCGUUUGCGGAUAUCAGACCCUUUCGAGUCAAAGUGAUUUGGCUUACGAAGUGCGAUCCCAGGUCAGGCGGGACUACCCGCUGAGUUUAAGCAUAUCAAUAAGC
This 739-nucleotide ribosomal RNA is filed under the name Cuscuta europaea. Its description in RNAcentral is "eukaryotic LSU rRNA". The stretch from base 325 to 480 matches the Rfam family "5.8S ribosomal RNA". Lineage: Eukaryota; Viridiplantae; Streptophyta; Magnoliopsida; Solanales; Convolvulaceae. The record is from RNAcentral.